GAGAGAGAGAGAGAGAGAGAGACAAGGAGCUUCUUGCUAAGGCGUUUUAUAGGUGACGUACUGUCUUACGCGGGGUGCUCUAGGCCCACUCACAGGCUUGUUCGCAUCCCAAAAUGACAUUUCUCCUGCAGUCCCUCUUCAGUUUCCCCUGCCCCGCCUCCGAGGUGAGGCUGAGAAGUCUGGGGUGUGUGUGUGUGUAUGAUGGGAGACGAGGAGGGAGGUUUGGAAAGAGAAAGAGGGGGGGAAGGAGAAGGGGGGGGAGGAUUAGUUCUUCAGCCGGGAGACCAACGAGGGAGCUUCAGACCCACAGAGAGAAGACCGAGGGGUGGGAGCUGCGGAAAGAGACCCUCCCUUUGGGGUAGGGGGUCUUGGAUCGCUUGGAAGAGGAGAGAGAGAGGAUCAUUGCACCGCUUCUGCAGGAUCGAGGAGGCGACCACCCGUUCUGGCUGCUCCUGGUUUUUUCCUCCCUCCAUCCGAAUCGCGCUCCACUUCCUUGUUGGCGGAAAAGAGGGAAAAACAGAGAGAGAGAGCGAGAAAGAGAGAGAGAAGAAGGCAAACCUCAGAAGGAGGACUGUUUCUGUCUUUGGUUAUCUAGCUGUAUGAGUGUUAUCAAGCCAUCAUAAAGCUAGAUAACCGAAAGUAGAAAUGACUUCCAUCGCCUUCUGGAAGGAGAAGAGAAGAACGAGGAGGAAGAGGGGGAAAAAAAGGAAAAGAAAAGAAGAAGAAAAGUUUGAAGAACGGAAGACAAGAGCAUCAUCCUCAAAUCUCCAAGAAGACCAACAGACCGGACCACCCUUCGAAGGAGAUGCUCAGAUCUGCAAGAACAGAUGCCUACGAUGGGGAAUUCCAAGAGCCUGGAAAACAGUCGGGUUUGCUACCGACGCAAGCAGGCGUGCGUUUCCUGAUUCAUGGAGAGGAGCCGGUUUUCAUGCUCUCCGUCAUCACGAGGACCUACCAGGAAAGCAUUUUCAAGACAAGGAGCCUCAGGUGGUCUUUUUGGAUUUCCUGAUGGGGCUCGGGAGCAAAAGGAAAGAGCCCCGUUCUGGCCACGUGAAGAGAACAAGGCACAGCCUCAGUUUCCGUUCUGUCCUUUUGAGCCGUGACUGUCACACUUUUGACUGAAAUGGAUGCUCCAAGCGAUUCGACUGGAGCUACGCCAACCUUGCUUUAGGAAAAUAUCUGCCUUUUCCAACUGAUCAUAAGGGACAAACAUUUUCGAAAUAUGUUGAAAAUUGUUAUCAGUGCUCAUAUUUUUAUGCCGUCCUUGAAACAAAAUGAACUUGUCUGGCGCUUUCUCUUGUCAUUGUUUGAAAAGAGUGUCAACAAUAAACACAUUUACUGUUUUCA
This 1347-nucleotide long non-coding RNA is filed under the name Pogona vitticeps (central bearded dragon). Its description in RNAcentral is "lncRNA (ENSPVIG00000002729.1)". The stretch from base 572 to 649 matches the Rfam family "mir-9/mir-79 microRNA precursor family". Lineage: Eukaryota; Metazoa; Chordata; Lepidosauria; Squamata; Agamidae. The record is from RNAcentral.